Molecule: ribosomal RNA, 210 nt
Filed under: uncultured bacterium
Lineage: Bacteria
Description: partial 16S ribosomal RNA
Rfam family: Bacterial small subunit ribosomal RNA
Source: RNAcentral
UACGUAGGGUGCGAAGCGUUAAUCGGAAUUACUGGGCGUAAAGCGUGCGCAGGCGGUUAUGUAGGACAGAUGUGAAAUGCCCGGGCUUAACCUGGAACUGCAUUUGUGACUGCAUGGCUAGAGUUUGGCAGAGGGGGGUAGAAUUCCACGUGUAGCAGUGAAAUGCGUAGAUAUGUGGAGGAACACCGGAUGGCGAAGGCAGCCCCCUGG